AUGGUGAGCGCCAGCACUAGCCGGAGCGGCUCGGGUCGCGCCGCUCAGAGGGGCGGCGGCGGCGCCCUGCCCGGGAGCCCGAGGGUGUCCGCGGCGGCGGCGGCGCAGCGCAGGUGGUGGGGGGCCUCGGGCCCGUCGCUGGAGCGAGUCGCCCUCGCCUUCUCCGUCGCCUCCGUGGCGCUCGCGCUCUCCUGCGCGCUCUACCUCUACGUCCUCCGCUACCUGGGGCGGAGCCAGGCCGUGGCCGGGUUCGUCGGGGAGGACCUCGGGGCGUGCGACGUGUUCGACGGCAACUGGGUCCCCGACGCUACCUACCCGCUCUACAACAGCUCUGAGUGCCCCUUCGCGGAGAAGGGGUUCAACUGCCUGGCCAAUGGCAGGGAGGACACCGGCUACCUCAAAUGGCGGUGGAGGCCGCGCCGCUGCGACGUGCCGAGGUUCACCGCCAGCGCCGCGCUUGAGCGGCUCAGGGGGAAGCGUGUCGUCUUCGUCGGGGAUUCCAUGAGCCGCACACAGUGGGAGUCCUUCAUCUGCAUGCUCAUGCCCGGGGUGGAGGAUCCCAAGACCGUCUACGAGGUGAACGGGAACGAGAUCAGCAAGACCAUACGGUUCCUGGGUGUGAAGUUUGCGUCCUUCGACCUCACCGUGGAGUUCUUCCGGUCCGUGUUCCUUGUCGAGCAGCGCCCUGCGCCCAGGCAUGCGCCCAAGAGGGUCAAAUCGACUCUGAGGCUGGACAAGAUGGAUAAUAUCAGUCGGAAAUGGGUGAACGCCGAUGUUCUGAUUUUCAACACCGGCCACUGGUGGACUCCCACCAAAUUGUUUAAUACGGGUUGCUAUUUUCAGGCUGGACGUGCUCUCAAACUAGGUACAACCAUUGAUGCUGCUUUCAGGAUGGCACUGCAGACUUGGGCUUCUUGGGUGGAAAAAAGAGUUGAUCUAAACCGAACACAUGUGUUCUUCCGCACAUAUGAGCCAUCUCAUUGGAGUGACUUGAACCAAACGAUAUGUGAAGUUACAGAAAAGCCUUCACCUGAGGCAAAAGGAAAUGACAAGAGUGAGCUUGGGGAUAUACUUGGUGAUGUUGUGGCGAGCAUGAAUGUUCCAAUUACUGUUCUAAAUGUAACUUUGAUGGGUGCCUUCAGAACAGAUGCUCAUGUUGGCGCUUGGAGUUAUCCUCCCACUAUACUUGAUUGCAGUCACUGGUGUCUCCCUGGAGUUCCAGAUGCUUGGAAUGAACUAGUAUUUUCAUACCUUUUUACAAAUGGUUGGCGAAAGAUGGCAGGGUGA
RNAcentral lists this ribosomal RNA (1287 nucleotides) under Triticum aestivum (bread wheat). Its description in RNAcentral is "partial small subunit ribosomal RNA". Lineage: Eukaryota; Viridiplantae; Streptophyta; Magnoliopsida; Poales; Poaceae. The record is from RNAcentral.